CUAGGAAAUUGCCCUGAUGUGGGGGAUAACCAUUGGAAACGAUGGCUAAUACCGCAUGAUGCCUACGGGCCAAAGAGGGGGACCUUCGGGCCUCUCGCGUCAGGAUAUGCCUAGGUGGGAUUAGCUAGUUGGUGAGGUAAGGGCUCACCAAGGCGACGAUCCCUAGCUGGUCUGAGAGGAUGAUCAGCCACACUGGAACUGAGACACGGUCCAGACUCCUACGGGAGGCAGCAGUGGGGAAUAUUGCACAAUGGGCGCAAGCCUGAUGCAGCCAUGCCGCGUGUGUGAAGAAGGCCUUCGGGUUGUAAAGCACUUUCAGUCGUGAGGAAGG
This 331-nucleotide ribosomal RNA is filed under the name Vibrio parahaemolyticus. Its description in RNAcentral is "bacterial SSU rRNA". It matches the Rfam family "Bacterial small subunit ribosomal RNA", at positions 117 to 451 of the family's 1533-position model. The record is from RNAcentral. Lineage: Bacteria; Pseudomonadati; Pseudomonadota; Gammaproteobacteria; Vibrionales; Vibrionaceae.